GACGAACGCUGGCGGCGUGCCUAAUACAUGCAAGUAGAACGAGUGGCGGACGGGUGAGUAAUGUCUGGGAAACUGCCUGAUGGAGGGGGAUACCUACUGGAAACGGUAGCUAAUACCGCAUAACAUCAGAUGUGCCAAGAUGGGAUUAGCUAGUGGGGGGGGUAAGGCCUCACCAAGGCGACGAUCACUAGCUGGUCUGAGGGGAGGACCAGACACACUGGAACUGAGACACGGUCCAGAAUCCGACGGGAGGCAGCAGUGGGGAAUAUUGCACAAUGGGCGCAAGACUGAUGCAGCCAUGCGGCGUGGAUGAAGAAGGCCUUCGGGUUGUAAAGUACUUUCAGCGGGGAGGCGUUACCCGCAGAAGAAGCACCGGCUAACUCCGUGCCAGCCGCCGCGGUAAUUC
Molecule: ribosomal RNA, 406 nt
Filed under: uncultured bacterium
Lineage: Bacteria
Description: partial 16S ribosomal RNA
Rfam family: Bacterial small subunit ribosomal RNA
Source: RNAcentral